GACGAACGCUGGCGGCGUGCUUAACACAUGCAAGUCGAACGGAAAGGCCCUGCUUUUGUGGGGUGCUCGAGUGGCGAACGGGUGAGUAACACGUGAGUAACCUGCCCUUGACUUUGGGAUAACUUCAGGAAACUGGGGCUAAUACCGGAUAGGAGCUCCUGCUGCAUGGUGGGGGUUGGAAAGCUUCGGCGGUUGGGGGUGGACUCGCGGCUUAUCAGCUUGUUGGUGGGGUAGUGGCUUACCAAGGCUUUGACGGGUAGCCGGCCUGAGAGGGUGACCGGACACAUUGGGACUGAGAUACGGCCCAGACUCGUACGGGAGGCAGCGGUGGAGAAUAUUGCACAAUGGGCGGAAGCCUGAUGCAGCAAAGCAGCGUGCGGGAUGACGGCCUUCGGGUUGUAAACCGCAUUCGCCUGUGACGAAGCGUGAGUGACGGUAAUGGGUAAAGAAGCACCGGCUAACUACGUG
Molecule: ribosomal RNA, 468 nt
Filed under: uncultured bacterium
Lineage: Bacteria
Description: partial 16S ribosomal RNA
Rfam family: Bacterial small subunit ribosomal RNA
Source: RNAcentral